This 728-nucleotide long non-coding RNA is filed under the name Brassica napus (rape). RNAcentral's name for it is "long non-coding RNA (BNAP_LNC023004)". The record is from RNAcentral. Lineage: Eukaryota; Viridiplantae; Streptophyta; Magnoliopsida; Brassicales; Brassicaceae.
UUCAAUUAAUGUUGACAAACUUGUGUGAAUUCAUAUUCAUUGAUCCAAAUAAGGAAGCUUUAAAUUUAGUUUUUGACCAAGUAAGAGAAGCUUCACUGUAUGGUUACCGAAAUUUCAUAGAGAAAAAAAAAUACCUUGAGCUAAGUUUGCUUUAUUGCCGACUUUAUAAUAUGCUAGAUAUAUAGUUCCCUACUUAUAAUAUUACAUAUUUUCUAUAUAUAUCCUCCAUAUUAUUAAUAUGUGUGGCAAUUAUAAUAAAUUAAAUAAAUAUGUGGUCAAUGGCCUCAUUUUUAUAUGAAAAUAUGAACACCAAAUAUAAAUCAUAUAAUAAACCAAAAACAACCGUGAUGAUAAGGUUCUUAUGUGACUGCUUUGUUUUAGUUGGUCCUCUGUAUCAAGUUAGUUAUUCAUUUUUAUUCAGUUUGUCUGUAAACACAUUACCCUGAAAUGUGUAAGCCUACAUUUAACCAUAUCUGAGUUAUUCUCGAGCACUUUAGGGUGAACCUACAUAUUCAUCAACUAAUAGAAAUUUGUUAUUUCAUAUCUGUAGCUUUUUAAAAAAAGAAUAUUGUCAAGUUGUAUUUGUUUUUAAAAUAAAAAGUAAAAAUAUAUAAAAAAUAGUAAUAGUUACAAAAAAAAGAAUUUUUUAAAAAUAUUUUUAAUCCCGUACGUCAACAAAACACUAAAUCCUAAAUCUUUGGAUAAACCGUAAACCCUUGAAUAAAUCU